Molecule: ribosomal RNA, 457 nt
Filed under: uncultured bacterium
Lineage: Bacteria
Description: partial 16S ribosomal RNA
Rfam family: Bacterial small subunit ribosomal RNA
Source: RNAcentral
CCUACGGGCGGCAGCAGUGAGGAAUAUUGGUCAAUGGGCGAGAGCCUGAACCAGCCAAGUCGCGUGAGGGAGUACUGCCCUAUGGGUUGUAAACCUCUUUUGUCGGGGAGCAAAAGCAGGACGUGUCCGGCUGUGAGAGUACCCGAAGAAAAAGCAUCGGCUAACUCCGUGCCAGCAGCCGCGGUAAUACGGAGGAUGCGAGCGUUAUCCGGAUUUAUUGGGGUUAAAGGGUGCGCAGGCGGAUUUUUAAGUCAGCGGUCAAAUCGUGGGGCUCAACCCCAUCCAGCCGUUGAAACUGGGGAUCUAGAGUGUGCGAGAGGUAUGCGGAAUGCGUGGUGUAGCGGUGAAAUGCAUAGAUAUCACGCAGAACCCCGAUUGCGAAGGCAGCAUACCGGUGCACAACUGACGCUCAGGCACGAAAGCGUGGGUAUCGAACAGGAUUAGAUACCCUUGUAGU